Molecule: ribosomal RNA, 253 nt
Filed under: uncultured bacterium
Lineage: Bacteria
Description: partial 16S ribosomal RNA
Rfam family: Bacterial small subunit ribosomal RNA
Source: RNAcentral
UACGUAGGGAGCAAGCGUUGUUCGGAUUUACUGGGCGUAAAGGGCGCGUAGGCGGCGUGUUAAGUCAGCUGUGAAAUCUCCAAGCUCAACUUGGAACGGCCAGCUGAUACUGAUGUGCUAGAGUGCAGAAGGGGCAAUCGGAAUUCUUGGUGUAGCGGUGAAAUGCGUAGAUAUCAAGAGGAACACCUGAGGUGAAGACGGGUUGCUGGGCUGACACUGACGCUGAGGCGCGAAAGCCGGGGGAGCAAACGGG